This 206-nucleotide non-coding RNA is filed under the name Pseudomonadota bacterium. Lineage: Bacteria; Pseudomonadati; Pseudomonadota. The record is from RNAcentral.
UAUUCAGGCGGUGCGUCAGGUUCCCCGAAAGGGGAAUAAUAGGGAACGCGGAACCAGGGAUUCUCCCUGUAAACCGUGGCUGUCCCCGCAACUGUGACCGGUGAGUGGUCGCCUGUGAAAUGCCACUGGGUGCAUCUGCAUCCGGGAAGGUGAGGCGAACAUGAUGAUCCGGGAGCCAGGAGACCUGCCUGACGCCGUCGGUCCUU